UACGUAGGGGGCAAGCGUUGUCCGGAAUUAUUGGGCGUAAAGGGCACGCAGGCGGUGAUUUAAGUUUGGUGUUUAAUCCCAGGGCUCAACCCUGGUACGCACUGAAAACUGGGUCACUUGAGUGCAGAAGAGGAGAGUGGAAUUCCACGUGUAGCGGUGAAAUGCGUAGAGAUGUGGAGGAACACCAGUGGCGAAGGCGACUCUCUGGUCUGUAACUGACGCUGAGGUGCGAAAGCGUGGGUAGCAAACAGG
Molecule: ribosomal RNA, 252 nt
Filed under: uncultured bacterium
Lineage: Bacteria
Description: partial 16S ribosomal RNA
Rfam family: Bacterial small subunit ribosomal RNA
Source: RNAcentral